CUGGGUAUAAUACCCGAUAAGUUCUCGAUUGCUGGAAUGCAUCGAGCUUGAAAGCUCCGGCGCUCAAGGAUGGGUCUGCGGCCUAUCAGGUAGUAGUGGGUGUAGCGUACCUACUAGCNUACGACGGGUACGGGUUGUGAGAGCAAGAGCCCGAAGAUGGAUUNUGAGACACGAAUCCAGGCCNUACGGGGUGCAGCAGGCGCGAAAACUUUACAAUGCUGGAAACAGCGAUAAGGGGACCUCGAGUGCCAGGUUACAAAUCUGGCUGUCGUGAUGCCUAAAAAGCAUUGCAUAGCAAGGGCCGGGCAAGACCGGUGCCAGCCGCCGCGGUAACACCGGCGGCUCGGGUGGUAACCGUUAUUAUUGGGUCUAAAGGGUCUGUAGCCGGCCGGAUAAGUCUCUUGGGAAAUCUGGCAGCUUAACUGUCAGGCUUUCAGGAGAUACUGUCUGGCUCGAGGCCGGGAGAGGUGAGAGGUACUUCAGGGGUAGGGGUGAAAUCUUGUAAUCCUUGAAGGACCACCAGUGGCGAAGGCGUCUCACCAGAACGGACCUGACGGCAAGGGACGAAAGCUAGGGGCACGAACCGGAUUAGAUACCCGGGUAGUCCUAGCCGUAAACGAUACUCGCUAGGUGUCGGCAACGGUGCGACCGUUGUCGGUGCCGUAGGGAAGCCGUGAAGCGAGCCACCUGGGAAGUACGGCCGCAAGGCUGAAACUUAA
RNAcentral lists this ribosomal RNA (719 nucleotides) under uncultured Methanotrichaceae archaeon. RNAcentral's name for it is "SSU rRNA". It matches the Rfam family "Archaeal small subunit ribosomal RNA", at positions 140 to 859 of the family's 1478-position model. The record is from RNAcentral. Lineage: Archaea; Methanobacteriati; Methanobacteriota; Methanomicrobia; Methanotrichales; Methanotrichaceae.